This 254-nucleotide ribosomal RNA is filed under the name uncultured bacterium. RNAcentral's name for it is "partial 16S ribosomal RNA". It matches the Rfam family "Bacterial small subunit ribosomal RNA", at positions 524 to 776 of the family's 1533-position model. The record is from RNAcentral.
UACGGAGGGUGCAAGCGUUGUCCGGAUUCAUUGGGCGUAAAGAGCUCGUAGGCGGUUCGAUAAGUCGGGUGUGAAACCUCCAGGCUCAACCUGGAGACGCCACCCGAUACUGUCGUGACUAGAGUCCAGUAGGGGAGUGUGGAAUUCCUGGUGUAGCGGUGAAAUGCGCAGAUAUCAGGAGGAACACCAGUGGCGAAGGCGGCACUCUGGGCUGGCACUGACGCUGAGGAGCGAAAGCGUGGGGAGCGAACAGG